UUUCAUGAGUAGCACACUGUGCACAGUUUACAUUCACAAGAAGGGGGGGAGGCCACCGAAGUGACUUCUCGGUAAUGAUCCUUCCGCAGGUUCACCUACGGAAA
RNAcentral lists this unclassified non-coding RNA (104 nucleotides) under uncultured fungus. RNAcentral's name for it is "sequence contains ITS1". The record is from RNAcentral. Lineage: Eukaryota; Fungi.